AACUCAUUUGUUAGCAAGGGCCGGGCAAGACCGGUGCCAGCCGCCGCGGUAACACCGGCGGCCCGAGUGGUAACCGUUUUUAUUGGGUCUAAAGGGUCCGUAGCCGGCCUGAUAAGUCCUUUGGGAAAUCUGACAGCUUAACUGUCAGGCUUCUAAGGGAUACUGUCAGGCUUGGGACCGGGAGAGGUAAGGGGUACUCCAGGGGUAGGAGUGAAAUCUUGUAAUCCCUGGGGGACCAUCUGUGGCGAAGGCGCCUUACCAGAACGGGUCCGACGGUGAGGGACGAAAGCUAGGGGAGCAAACCGGAUUAGAUACCCGGGUAGUCCUAGCCGUAAACGAUGCUCGCUAGGUGUCUGGCACGGUGCGUCCGUGUCCGGUGCCGCAGGGAAGCCGUUAAGCGAGCCACCUGGGAAGUACGGUCGCAAGGCUGAAACUUAAAGGAAUUGGC
Molecule: ribosomal RNA, 448 nt
Filed under: uncultured archaeon
Lineage: Archaea
Description: bacterial SSU rRNA
Rfam family: Archaeal small subunit ribosomal RNA
Source: RNAcentral